UACGAGGGGGGCAAGCGUUAUUCAAAAUGACUGGGCGUAAAGAGCACGUAGGCUGCUUAAAAAAAAUUGGUUCUUUCAAAAGCCCAUGGCUUAACUGUGGUAAAAGGAUAUUUUUUUAAGCUAGAGUAAGUGAGAGGAAAGUGGAAUUCCUGGAGGAGAGGUAAAAUUUGUAGAUUUCAGGAGGAACAUCGAAAGCGAAGGCAACUUUCUGGCACUUUACUGACGCUGAGGUGCGAAAGCGUGGGGAGCGAAGGGG
RNAcentral lists this ribosomal RNA (256 nucleotides) under uncultured bacterium. RNAcentral describes it as "partial 16S ribosomal RNA". It matches the Rfam family "Bacterial small subunit ribosomal RNA", at positions 524 to 776 of the family's 1533-position model. The record is from RNAcentral.